RNAcentral lists this long non-coding RNA (789 nucleotides) under Lathyrus oleraceus (garden pea). RNAcentral's name for it is "Pisum sativum (pea) long non-coding RNA (PSAT_LNC039079)". Lineage: Eukaryota; Viridiplantae; Streptophyta; Magnoliopsida; Fabales; Fabaceae. The record is from RNAcentral.
AAACAAGGACAUAUACUCGAAUAAUUGGUUACUAACUAAUCUUAUGUGAGGUCAUUUUGGUUUUAUGAAAUUAAAACAGGAUUAAAAUAACUGUAUAUUUUUGGUUGAUUAGAUAUAAUAGUGUAUAAUAAUACUAUAUUCUUCCUAACUUCUUCUAUUUUGAAAAGUAUGUCCCUCCUUUUAUAUGAUUAAUUAAAUUUUUUAACUCUGUUAAGUUAUUCUUGUACCAAAAUGUUACUAUAAUAUGAGUUACUAAAAACCCAAAACUAAACCUUAUGUGACUAUCAAUAAUCAAGGACAUAUACUCGAAUAAUUGGUUACUAACUAAUCUUAUGUGAGGUCAUUUUGGUUUUAUGAAAUUAAAACAGGAUUAAAAUAACUGUACAUUUUUGGUUGAUUAGAUAUAAUAGUGUAUAAUAAUACUAUAUUCUUCCUAGCUAGCUUCUUCUAUUUUGAAAAGUAUGUCCCUCCUUUUAUAUGAUUAAUUAAAUUUUUUAACUCUGUUAAGUUAUUCUUGUACCAAAAUGUUACUAUAAUAUGAGUUACUAAAAACCCAAAACUAAACCUUAUGUGACUAUCAAUAAUCAAGGACAUAUACUCGAAUAAUUGGUUACUAACUAAUCUUAUGGGAGGUCAUUUUGGUUUUAUGAAAUUAAAACAAGAUUAAAAUAACGGUAUAUUUUUGGUUGAUUAGAUAUAAUAGUGUAUAAUAAUACUAUAUUCUUCCCAGCUUCUUCUAUUUUGAAAAGUAUGUCCCUCCUUUUAUAUGAUUAAUUAAAUUUUUUAACU